AGGCCCAAAGAGAGAGGCAGGGUCUGAUCUGCAGCCUUCUUGGCAGCUGUUGAUCAGCCAUUGCUUCUCUCUUUCUCUCUG
This is a non-coding RNA of Myotis davidii, 81 nucleotides long. Lineage: Eukaryota; Metazoa; Chordata; Mammalia; Chiroptera; Vespertilionidae. The record is from Rfam.